UGGGGAAUUUUGGACAAUGGGGGCAACCCUGAUCCAGCAAUGCCGCGUGUGUGAAGAAGGCCUUCGGGUUGUAAAGCACUUUUGUCCGGAAAGAAAGCAUCCCUGUUAAUACCGGGGGUGGAUGACGGUACCGGAAGAAUAAGCACCGGCUAACUACGUGCCAGCAGCCGCGGUAAUACGUAGGGUGCGAGCGUUAAUCGGAAUUACUGGGCGUAAAGCGUGCGCAGGCGGUGAUGUAAGACCGAUGUGAAAUCCCCGGGCUUAACCUGGGAACUGCAUUGGUGACUGCAUCGCUAGAGUAUGGCAGAGGGGGGUGGAAUUCCACGUGUAGCAGUGAAAUGCGUAGAGAUGUGGAGGAACACCGAUGGCGAAGGCAGCCCCCUGGGCCAAUACUGACGCUCAUGCACGAAAGCGUGGGGAGCAAACAGG
Molecule: ribosomal RNA, 429 nt
Filed under: Bacillota bacterium
Lineage: Bacteria; Bacillati; Bacillota
Also listed under: 1 other name
Description: Firmicutes bacterium partial 16S ribosomal RNA
Rfam family: Bacterial small subunit ribosomal RNA
Source: RNAcentral